AUAGGUCAUCACUUCUGGAAUGGGUAAUGACUUAAACCUAUAUGGCCCCUGGAUUGGACUGCGGCCGAUCAGGCUGUUGGUGAGGUAAUGGCCCACCAAACCUGUAACCGGUACGGGCUCUGAGAGGAGGAGCCCGGAGAUGGGCACUGAGACGAGGGCCCAGGCCCUAUGGGGCGCAGCAGGCGCGAAACCUCUGCAAUAGGCGAAAGCUUGACAGGGUUACUCUGAGUGAUUUCCGUUAAGGAGAUCUUUUGGCACCUCUAAAAAUGGUGCAGAAUAAGGGGUGGGCAAGUCUGGUGU
Molecule: ribosomal RNA, 300 nt
Filed under: uncultured archaeon
Lineage: Archaea
Description: bacterial SSU rRNA
Rfam family: Archaeal small subunit ribosomal RNA
Source: RNAcentral